Molecule: unclassified non-coding RNA, 315 nt
Filed under: plant metagenome
Description: partial contains 5.8S ribosomal RNA, internal transcribed spacer 2, and large subunit ribosomal RNA
Rfam family: 5.8S ribosomal RNA (bases 1-105)
Source: RNAcentral
GAACUGCGAUAAGUAAUGUGAAUUGCAGAAUUCAGUGAAUCAUCGAGUCUUUGAACGCACAUUGCGCCCCCUGGCAUUCCGGGGGGCAUGCCUGUCCGAGCGUCAUUGCUGCCCUUCAAGCCCGGCUUGUGUGUUGGGUCGUCGUCCCCUCCGGGGGACGGGCCCGAAAGGCAGCGGCGGCACCGCGUCCGGUCCUCGAGCGUAUGGGGCUUUGUCACCCGCUCGAUAAGGACCAGCCGGGCGCCAGCCGGCGUCUCCAACCUUUUUUUCUCAGGUUGACCUCGGAUCAGGUAGGGAUACCCGCUGAACUUAAGC